This 15194-nucleotide long non-coding RNA is filed under the name Gossypium barbadense (sea-island cotton). Its description in RNAcentral is "long non-coding RNA (GBAR_LNC021356)". The record is from RNAcentral. Lineage: Eukaryota; Viridiplantae; Streptophyta; Magnoliopsida; Malvales; Malvaceae.
CCCUCUAAAUCAACCACCUUGCAAUCUCCUAUUGUUAAUCUUUUGAGGCUGGUGAGAUGUUGCAGGCACUCAUCUAGCGUGUGAGUGUCCAACCCCUCAAUGUUGUGUACAUGGAAAGAUUUCAGUUUGGAGAGUGGAAGAGAAGAGGUUGAAGUUGAUGGGGCCUUAGCAUUGAUGUUCAUCUUGAUAGUCUGCUUUAACGGCCUUGAACUGGUAUUCCUCAACUCUAGCUUAUCAUCGAGUGAUGGAUACAGUGGCAUCAAAGUCAAAGGGCAAUUUACAAUCCGUAAAGAGGAAAGACAAGGAAAUGCCAUGAUUGAUGUUCCAAUAACUGUUGUGUCGUCCUCGUUGGAAUCAUCAUCGAUUGGUUUUGUCAUCCUCCACCAACUCUUCAUAUUCGGACAGUCCCAGAGCGAAAGAUGCUUAAGUGAUGGGAAGAAUGAUUGUGGUUCUCCUUGACUUCCUUUUAGGCUAUUAUCAUCCAUGUACUCCAGCUUAGUACAACGCUCAAUCUUCAGCAGUUCAAGACAGGGCAAUUGAGCAAAGGACGGCAAAUAUUUGAAAUUAUCACCGCUUAUGAAAAUUUUGACGAGAUUUGUGAGCAAAGGAAGCCAACUUGGAAACUUGGCCUUGCCCCUCCAUCCUGCAAUACAGAGCUCCUUGAGAUUAGGAUGGGGCUGGAGGUCUUCAAGCGACUUCUCAUCGUCAUCAUCAAAACGAAGGCUCCAUUCUAAAAGCAACGAUCUCAAAUGUUGCUUCUCUUUCAAAUUAGCAGCCUUAAACUUCUCUUUUGCAUUUUUUACGAAUCCCAAAUUUCUUAUUCUUAACUCUCCCCUUAAGUUGCUAAGCAGUCUCAAUUCACUUAGAUCUGCACCGCCAUGGGACCCAUCUUCAUCCACUACAAGCAUGCUUAACGUCUCAAGUGAAGUCAGCUUCCCUAUUCCACGUGGCAUAUGAGUUAAUUCCCAACAAUCUUUACACCUAAGAUGGGUAAGAUUCACCAAUUUUUCAAUCUUCUUCGGCAAUUCUUUAAGCCCAGUACACCAGUCAAGUUUCAGCGCUAGCAAAUUCUGAAUCUUGCAAAUACUCUUUGGGAGAAUCCUAACGGGAUUCUCAGAAAGAUCAAGGUACCUCAAAUGUUUCAACUUACAAAUGGAGGGUGAAAUCUUAUGAAUACCUAUAGAAUUCAAUUUCAAUACACGCAAGCAUCUGCAAUUUGCAAUUAUCAAAUCCCAAGUUUCAUAGCUGAAAUCUUGACUUAAUCCGUAUUGAAAAUGUAACAAGGUUCGCAACUUCUUUCCCUUAAACAAAGGAAUUAACGAAGGAUUAAUUGAUAUGUGGCGACAUUUUUCACCAACAUCACUUGCAAUUUUAUUUGAAUCUACAAUACUACUCUCCAUCCCUGCUACUGAUUCAGCUAGAUCAUGCAUUAAAUCAUGCAUUUUACAUGUCAUAUUCCCAAUUCCAUAUUCUUCUACCUCUUGAAAGAAACUUCUUUCAACUAAAUCUUUAAAAUACCCAAACCCGAUCUCCUCCAGAGAUUGACUUUGAUUCAAUUGCUUUAUGAAACCCUGUGCAAUCCAAAAUUGAACAAGCGCUUGUACUUGAAUUGUGUAAUCUGUUGGAUACAAUCGGCAAUAAGCAAAGCAAUGCUUCAAAUGAGACGGGAGAUGAUCAUAACUCAAUUUCAGUAUAGGUAGAAUUUCUCCUUCAAUUUGUGAAAUUUUAGCAAGUUCAUUUUCUUUGAAAGAAUGCCACUCAUUUGCAGUUUUCUUCAAAGAUAAUGUACCAGCUAUCGUCCUUAUGGCUAAGGGAACCCCACCACACCUUUCCGAAAUCUGUCUCCCCACUUCCACAAAGGCUGAAUUUGUUGAGUCUGCAUAUCCUUGCUCAAAUGCUAUCUUUUUGAACAAAGACCAAGCAUCAUCACCAGACAAGCCUUUCAAUUUCAAAACAUGGGAUUGACAUUUAUUAGUUAUCUCCGCUACCCUUAGAGAUCGAGUAGUUACUAUUAUCCUACUCCCUUUAGCCCCACCCAUCAAUAACUUCUUUAGCCUAGACCACCUUUCUGGGUCCUCAUUCCAAAUGUCAUCCAAAACAAGCAAAUAUUUUUUCCCAUCAAUUUUAUCUCGAAGUUGUUUUUGCAAUUGAUCCAUUUCAAGAUUUUGAUCAGGUGCUUGAUGAGUCACAGAUUUGAUAAUGUUUGCAACAAUAACUUUCACAUCAAAUUCAUCUGAAACACACGCAAACAUCGUUAAGUCAAAAUGAUUUUUGACCAUUUCAUGGUUAUAGACAAGUUGGGCCAAAGCAGUCUUCCCUAACCCUCCAAACCCCACAAUUGGAAUGAUAUAAACAUUCUCUUCACUUUGAAACUCCAACACGAGUUUUAGAAGAGCUGCUUUAUCAUCAUCCCUCCCUAUUAUGUCAUCUUCACGCUCAAAAGAGUGCGUUUGCUGCCUCCUUUUAGUCAUGAAAGAGGUUUCCGCGGGGCGAUCACGUGGAAUGAAGCCAAAAGUGUUGGCCCCACUUUCAAUUGAAGCUAAUCUCGCCUUAAUGGCCUUCAUUUUCCGACCCAUUUUGAGACCAUAAGCAAAUUGGUUUGAGGUUGAGAAGAAAAGGCGUACCUCUUUCGUCAGCUUGUUCCCACCCGACAGAUUUUUCCGCAAAGCUUCAGUAGAGAAAUCAUCGAGCAAGUCGUCGGCAUCAUAAAGUACAUGUUUCAGCUCUUCAAGCCAAACUUUGACGAGAUUGUCGGUCACCGAUUUCUCUUCAGCAUCAAGAAGCAAAGCUUUGAUUUGACAGACAGUGCGUCUGAGGUCGUGGAUGUCAUGUUUGAGAUUCCACCACAGCCCAACUUGAGAGAGAGCACGAGAGCUCAACUUAAUAAUGAGCUCUGCGGCAAUGUCGGAAGCAAUUGCUUCGGCCAUUGUUGGUUCGAACUGAAAUCAAGGCAAAAAGUGUUUGAUUCGUGAGAGAGGAGGACUAAAAUGAGAACAAUCCCAGCAAGAUGAAACACAGAUGUGGAUCCAUCCACCCAGCAAGUAGUAUAAUUAAAUAAAAAGUAAUGUUGAUUGGUGGGAAAUGGUCCCUCCAUGUUUACUGUUUGACACAAAUUUCUGAAUGGAGACAAAGUUGAGAUGAUGACACUAGGGGUGCUCUGCACAACGUACAAAUAAUUGAAAUUAAUGAAAAAGCUAUGAAAGAAAAGAGAAAAAGGAGACAAAUCCCAUGGAAUCCAAGGUGUUUUGAUUGACGCCAAUGCAUUCUGGUCUUUCUAAGGAUGGGUUUGGAUGGGCGAUUGGGUGCGGUGCGGUGCGUUUAACUUACUUUUGGUGUCACGCUACAGUAUCGCUACAGUAUUUAAUCUCACCACCACCUCUGUUUUUACACUAUCCACAGAUAAACGCACCGCCAAUCCAAACUCAUCCUAAACCUUCUUCCCACUUACUUUUGUGUAAUUGAGUGAGUCUCAAUACUCGGUUCUAACUUAAAUUUAAUAUUUUAUUUUUGAGUUUAACUUCGGUUAAAUAUAUAAAAUUAAAAUUAAAAUUCAUUGGCCAUUAGAAUCAAAUAUUAUUAAAUUCGAAUAUGAUUAAAUCAAUAAUUUAAACAUAACUUAUUGACUACUAAAUCAAAUUUAAAUCUUUUUCGAAUCGAAUUUAAUUAACUUACAAAUAUGAUUAUCAUGUCCUCCUUGUGAAAACUAAAGCAGUUGACAGUGCUAGUACAAUCUGCUUCAAAAAUGACAUUAUCGACUUUAAGAAAUUGAGCAAGCCGAAAACCAUCGAUGAGGGCAUCUAAUUCUGCUUUAAUAGUGAUUUUUUAUUCUCAUUUUAUCGGUAUAUUUACAUUUGAAUUCAAAUACAUAUUCUAUAAUUAACUUUAAUCUCACUGUUACAAUACUUAACCUCACUAAAUUACUUGUUUAACAUAAUUAUGGUGAAUUUAUAGAAAGAACAAUCACGAAGCAAAUGUAGAUGCACUUAUGUUUAAAAUGUUAUUAAUGAAAAUUUUAUUAUUUUAAAAAAUAAAAGUAUAAUAACUUUUUUGGCAUUCUAACUUUAUAAAAGAAUUAUUUUAGCUCUCUAUUUAUUUUCCUUCUUUUUUAGUCUUUCAUUUUACAUUUUUUUGUCAAACCAUCCAAAAUGGGUGAAAAAGUUGACGUUAAUUAACUUUGUUGACAUGACAUAUAGGUAGAUUACCACGUGUAUGUCACUUUAGCAAUUAAUUAUUUAAAAAAUAUUAAAAAAAUAUUUUCUUAUAAAUUUUAAAAUAUUUUUUAAAUUUUUUUAAAAUUUUAAAAAAUAUUUUAUUGCUUAUGUGGCAUAUACGUGGCAAUCUGCGUGUAUGUCACAUCAGUAAAAUCAAUGGACGUUAAUUUUUCACUCAUUUUGAAGUGAUUUGACAAAAUUUACAAGUUUAAGAACUAAAAGAAACGAAAAAUUAAAUGGAGAGUUAAAAUGACUUUUUCUAUAAAGUUGGAGACCAAAAGAAUCAUUAUGGCAAAAAAUAGUUGUCUUUCAUCUCUCUCUCUCUCUCUUUUUUGGUUAUUUUUUAGUGUUAAAAUUCAAGAUGGUAUGGAAUAGUUUUUAAUCUUAUUAUUGUUAUAUAUAUAUAUAUAUAUAUAUAUAUAUAUAUAUUUUCGAUCUCAUUAGAGUUAAUCUCACUGUCAAUAUAAAGAGAGCCUAAAUAUAAUUUGUUCAUCUUCUUUUAAACAUGUUAGUGCUCCUUUGUAUGAUCAUUUACCUCCUGUAAGUAGGAUUGAGUAAAUAAAAUAAUUAAAAAUCGAUUCAAAUCAAGGUGUUUAGACGGUUUACAGAAUACAAAUUAAAAAAUCACAAUUAUCCGAAACUAAAUCAAAUUCUAUUUUUUAUUUAAUUUAUAAAUAAAUUUAUUUUUUAUAAUAUAAAAAUAAAUCUUUUAUAUUUAAAAAUAGUGAAAAUAAAUAUAUUUUAAAAAUAUUAUAUAAAAGUAUUUGAUUAUUUUUAUUUACUUAGAAAAAAUUUAAAAAUAUCUUUGAUAUAAACUUUCAAAAUUUUUCAAAUGAUAUUUAAAAACUGUAAAAAAAAAGUUUAUUUCAUGAAAAUAAUUAUAAAAAUUUAUAAUAAAACUUUGAACUAAACUAAAUUAUAAUGGACGGAUUAAAAAAUAGAAUCGAAUUAAACAAAUAUCACUUGAUUUUAUUGCACUAAACUGGACAUAAAAGAUUUUCUUAAAAAAUUUAACCUGCAAUGAGAUUGUUUUUCUCACUAUAACCUUCUAGAGGUGUUAUAUAAGUACAUACCAUUGAUAAUUAUAAAUUUAAUUAUUUAAUUGUUAUAAAAAUUAAAUAUAUUACAAAUUAAUAUUUAUAUAAUGAUAUAUUGAAUACAUGUAAAUUUAUUAUCAUAAAUAUAUUUUUAAUUAUUAUUUAAUAUAAAUAAUUUUAUUAUAUUUUAUUAUUUUCAUUUAUAUAAAAUAUAGAAUUUUAAGUUUAUAAUAAUUUCAAAAAAUAUAUAAUUUUCAUAAUCAAAUUUUAUAUGAAUUAAAUCUAAAUAAGUAGAUAUGUAAUAAUCAAUAAAAAAUUAAUAAAAAUAUAUUUAUUAAUAAAUUUAUUAUUUACCAUGAUUGCAAAUUUAGUAUAUAUUAUAUUAUUUAGUGUUAAAUAUAAUCUUUCAUUUUACAAAUAUAAUUUAACAUCCUUAAUAAUCAAUUUAAGGUGAAAACACCUCUCUAGUCCCUUUCAAUUUUGAUAUCAAGCAAAUUGGUCCUUUUAAAAAAUUUAGAACAAUUUUAUCAUUGUUAAUUUUGAAAUUGAGCAACUAAGGAUAAUUAAUCACAACGUUAAUAUUUUUGUCAUCUAUACAUAAUUUUAUAGGUAUAAUAACAACUUUAGCCCUAAAAUUUUACACAUUUUGUCAAUUUAGUUCUAGUUUAACAAAAUCAAAUUGCAACAUUUACACAUUAUGUACGAACUGAAUUUGUUAUUAUACUAAUCAAAAUUAUAUACGAGAGACAAAAAAAUAUUAACAUUAUUGUUAAUUGUCCUUAGUUCACUUUUGAAAUUGAUAGGGAUUAAAUUGCUCCAUUUUUUUAGAGGGGCCAAUUUGCAAAAUAUUGAAUUUAAGAGGGAUUGAAGAGGUGUUUUUAUCCAUUUUUAACCUCACCUCACUACUACAAUUGUUAUUGAAUCCAAAUAUAUAUCCAACACUGAUUAUUGUCACAUCACUAACGUAUUCAAUCUCACUAUUACAACAACUAAUUUUACCACCAACGUUAUUUUUAAUUUCUUUAGAAUUCAUCCAAUUAUACAUCCAAAGAAAACCAUAAACUUAUCUAAAUAAUUGUUAUAAAAAUUAAAUAUAUUACAAAUUAAUAUUUAUAUAAUGAAUACAUGUAAAUUUAUUAUCAUAAAUAUAUUAUUCAUUGAAUAUUAUUAUACGUGAUUUUAUAUAUUUAUUUUUUAUUCACUGAAUAAUAUAUUUUUAUUUUAUGUAAUUAAUACAAAUAUAAUAUUAUUCAAAUUGUGGUACAUAAUUAAAAUAGUGUAACAAUAAAAAAUUCAAACAUAAAAGUUUGGAAGUAAAUAAUAAUGAAAUAAAAUUUUUAGUGAUUUUAACUACUAAUUUAAUAAAAAAUUAAAACAUACUAUUCUUAUGUAUAAUUUAUAAUUUAAUAUAAAAUAUAAUUUUAAUUAUUUUUAAUAUAAACAUAGUUUUGAUAUUUUUAAUUAUUAUUUAAAAUAUUUUAUUAUAAUAUAUAAAUUAAUAUAUAUAUAAUAUAAAAAUCUAUAAAAGAAUUCCAAAUUUCAAUUAUUAUAAUAUAAAUUUUAUAUCUAAAAAUCCUGAAUUAAAUUAAAUUAAUUCAAUUGAAUUGGACAAACAAAUUCGACCGAAAAUCAUUUGAUAUGAUUGGUUGGAUUACCAAUCUAAUUUUAAAAACCUUGACCAGGACAACAUCAAUAUGUGAAUUUGUUUAAUAUUGUUUAUUUAAUAAGUCUAAAUUUUGAGCAUCUAAAAUGUUAAUAAAAUCUUAUUUCUAAUUAUUUUCAUACAUUGAAUAUGUCAUUUCACUUUGUUAGAACUUGUUUAAAAGAAUAUUGUAUGCUUCAAUGGAAGUCACAAUUUUACGGAAAAAUUUCGUAAAAAUUUCGUUCGAAAAUUUCGACGUUUGGGCACUCAAUUUAGUCAAAAGGACUAAAUUGUAAAAAGUGCCAAAGUUGAGUUCUACAUGUUAGAAGUGUCUAAUUGUUAUGAGAUUAUAAGUUGGGGGUCCUUAUGUGGUAAUUAGACCAUUAGUUAAUUUAUGGACAAAAAUAGACAUAAGAAAUGGGUGAAAUAUAUAUUUUUUAAGUAGGGGCAUUUUAGUCAUUUGGUAAUAAAAAGAAUAAAAUGGGAAAAAGAUGACAAAAAUCAUCAUCUUCUCCAUAAGUUGCUGUCAAAUUUGAAGAGUCACCAUAGCUAGGGUUUCUUCACUUUCUCAAGCUCAUAGUAAGUGCAUCCUAGCCCUGUUUUUAAUGUUCUUCGCAUUUUUGGAAUCCUCGUAGCUCGGUUUAGCUUAUUCUAUCAAUAAUUCAUGUUAGGGUUCAUAUUUGGAAAAAUAUCCAUAGGUGAAAUGUGUUUAUUUUUCUGUUUUAUGGUAGAAUAUGAAGCUAGAAAUUAUGUUAAACAACUUUUGCUAAGUGAUUUUAAGCAAAAACGAGUAAAUCGACAUAAUCGGUAAAAAUAUUUAUUGUUCAUAAGUGUAUGUUAGAGUGAGAAUUUGAUGUUGCCAUAGAAGGGAAAAGUGUUCAGCAUGUUGUAAAACAUAAGAAUAAGGUGUGAAAUUUAAUUUUCGAGCUUGGGGACAAAAAUGUAAUUAUGCAAAAGUUUAGGGGCAAAAUUGUAAUUUUAUAAAAGUUGAGUCGAAGCUUGUUUUAAUAAAUGUGAAUAUUAAACAAGCUCAAUUUUCUGUUAUAGAUCAAGAAAGAUGAGAAAUCAACCUUAAUCGGGGAAAAGAGAAGAUUGAGGAUUAAAUUGCAAAAUCUUUACAUUUUGUAUCGAGGUAAGUUGUAUGUAAUUAAUAUUGUUAUAAUUGUUUUCGUUAUAUUUUGUGACAAUAUACGUGAAAGGGUUGAUAUUAUAAUGUGUUUUGAAUGAGUUGUAAAUAUAUUUGGAAAGUAAGAAUCUUUGUGGAAAUGUCGUAAUGCUAAAGAUUUGAGUAAGGUAUCGAUGAACACGUGUGUAGUAUUGUGUGAAGGCUACUACGUGUAUCGAUAAGUAAUGUUCACAUGGGUAGUACUAAGUGAAGGCUACUAUGUGUACCAAGAAGCUUUGAGCACGUGUGUAGUACUGUGUGAAUGCUACCACGUGUCUCGGUAAACUACGGUCACAUGUGUAGUACUAAGUGAAGGCUACUAUGUGUACCAAGAAGCUUUGAGCACGUGUGUAGUACUGAGUGAAGGCUACUACGUGAGCCGUAAAACUUGAUCACGUGUGUAGUACUAUGUGAAGGCUACUACGUGAAUUGUAAAACUGAUCACGUGUGUAGUACUAUGUGAAGACUACUACGUGUAUCGAAUGAUAAAAAUAAUAUGAGUAGUACUAUGUGAAAAGCUCCGAAUAUUAUUUUAUAUAUACCGUCAUGAUGAUGAAAUUUGAGUAUGUGAUCGGAAUGUAAUAAGUUGUGAAAAUCGAUUGAAGUGAUGAAAUUUGCGUUGUGUUAUAAAAUAAGUGGUUAUAGUGCUAUGUGAAUAAGGAAUGUUGGAAUAGAACAGAUUUGGACAGUGACAGUGAUGUUAGUUUGAAAAAUCACCAAAAACUAUAAAAAUUGAGUUAGAGGUUGAAUAAUAUAUGAGAUUGAAGCUGAAUGAAUCUAUUUUCAUAUGGAAGAAACAAAGCAAGCAAAGGAGUUGUAUGUUUGGAGAUAUUUAAACUUUAUUGAGACAGGGUUGGAUUGAUUUCGAAAUCCCAUGUUUCAACUUUGGAAAAUCACCAAAAAUUGUAAAAAAAUAAUUAUGGCUUGAAAUUUAUAUUCUUGAAUUCCUUAAUGAGUCUAUUUUUAAUAGAAAGAAACAAGAACAUUGUUUAAAUUUUGUACAAAGAGUUAAAUAAAUUUUAGUGAAGAGAGGUCAGAAGUGUCAAAGAGUGAAACAGGGGAACAUUUAGAGAAUAAACUGUACUAAUUGGCUAAAAAAAAAUUCUGAAAAUUUUAUGGUAAGAAUAUAUGUGAGUCUAGUUUCAGAGAAAAUUUACGGAUCUCAAUUCGGAGUUCUGUAUCUCCGGAUAAAAAUAAUUUACCGACUGUGAUGUAGAAAAACAGUUUGUUGGAAGUUGACUAAAUGAUAGAUUUAUGUGUGAUAGAAAUGAUAUAAUAUAUGAUACUAUCUUAGAAAUUUAUUUAUCGAUUACAUACAUACUUACUAAGCUGUAAGCUUACCCCUCUUUAUUUUUCCUUUGUUUUAUAGUGAUAUUAAUCAACUCGGGAAUUGGACGGAGUUAGAACAUCAUCCUCACUAUCAUCACCAACUUUUGGGUAUUUUGCAAUCAAUACUUUUGAAAAAUGGCAUGUAUAGAUGACUUAAUGCAAUGUAGUUUAAACUUAUAUAUAUAUAUAUAUAUAUAUAUAUGUAUAAAAUAUCGUUUGGUUUAAAAUGUCGGUAUCUAUAAUUGAUGAAUUAUUUCCUUAAAUCUUUUGUUCAUAUAGUUUAGGAUGUUAUGGAUGAAUUAAUCAUGUCAGAACAUAUGAUUGUGUUUGGUUGAAAUAUCGAUGUUGCUUGAGAUUGUGUUUCGAAAAUUUGCAGGAGGAAUUGAAUAUUUAUGAAAAGAAACUAUGUCAAAAUUUUUGUAAAAGAAAAAAAAAAUUUGAUCGCUUGAUAACACUUCUCGCCUUGUUUCGACGAUGAAUACGGGUAAGAGGUGUUGCAAUAAACUUAUCUAAAUAAUUGUUAUAAAAAUUAAAUAUAUUACAAAUUAAUAUUUAUAUAAUGAAUACAUGUAAAUUUAUUAUCAUAAAUAUAUUAUUCAUUGAAUAUUAUUAUACGUGAUUUUAUAUAUUUAUUUUUUAUUCACUGAAUAAUAUAUUUUUAUUUUAUGUAAUUAAUACAAAUAUAAUAUAUUCAAAUUGUGGUACAUAAUUAAAAUAGUGUAACAAUAAAAAAUUCAAACAUAAAAGUUUGAAAGUAAAUAAUAAUGAAAUAAAUUUUUUAGUGAUUUUAACUACUAAUUUAAUAAAAAAAUUAAAACAUACUAUUCUUAUGUAUAAUUUAUAAUUUAAUAUAAAAUAUAAUUUUAAUUAUUUUUAAUAUAAACAUAGUUUUGACAUUUUUAAUUAUUAAUUAAAAUAUUUUAUCAUAAUAUAUAAAUUAAUAUAUAUAAUAUAAAAAUCUAUAAAAGAAUUCCAAAUUUCAAUCAUUAUAUUAUAAAUUUUAUAUCUAAAAAUCCUGAAUUAAAUUAAAUUAAUUCAAUUGAAUUGGACAAACAAACUCGACCCAAAAUCAUUUGAUAUGAUUGGUUGGAUUACCAAUCGAUUUUAAAAACCUUGACCAGGACAACAUCAAUAUGUGAAUUUGUUUAAUAUUGUUUAUUUAAUAAGUCUAAAUUUUGAAGCAUCUAAAAUGUUAAUAAAAUCUUAUUUCUAAUUAUUUUCAUACAUUGAAUAUGUCAUUUCACUUUGUUAGAACUUGUUGAAAAGAAUAUUGUAUGCUUCAAUAGAAGUCACAAUUUAUCUUUGAUCAUGAUUGUUCGCAACUGAGCUACUUAGUAAAUUAAAAAUCAGACCUCGACUAUGUACUGUAAGUGCAUUUUCCUACAAACUUUACCCUAUGAUUCAUUAGCCAAAGGUAUUCAUCCCAUCCCCCAAAGUCAUGAGAUAGAUUUGUAAGCUUUGUUUAUGUUAUAGUUAAGGUGGAUGUGUACGCUAGUGUGUGAGUUCUAAAUUAUAUUGUACAAAAAACAACCUAAAAAGAAGACAAAAGAAGACAUUGGAUAUAGGUAUAGCUGUUUUGUAACAACCUAAAAAGGGUCGUAAUUGCUGCAGGGCUCCCGCAUUCUCGUAUCCUCAAUAUUUGAUAAUCGAAUGGAGCUCAGCUAAGCAUUCAACCAAUCAUAAGAUGAAGAUGUGGGAUUCAUUACUCAAUCUAGCAAUGUCUUCAAUUUUGUACAACUCAAUCUUCAAAUUGCUUAAUGGUUCUUGCGUGAAACCCUUCCAUUAAAUGAUAGUAGAUCUACAUAAUGUACUCAAAAUUGCUUGAUAAUUAGUUGUGCUUGUGUUGGAACCUUAUUUGAAACAUCAAAAGAGAAAAAUAUGUUUUGUCUUGAGUGGACACAUAUAUAAAUAAAACUAAAGAACACAACUAAGAUAUUUACGCAGCUUGAAACUUGUCCUACGUUUGCAGCGCCUUGUUCAGAGAUAAAUCCACUAUAUAUUUUCUAGUACAAAGAAAUGAUUUAUGCCCAACUCUCAAACAUUUGGUGUCACCUCACCUUUGUACAAUGAAGUAAACUCUCGCCCAAUUCACUUUAGCUAUACAAUUGAAAAUCAACACUCAAAAGGUGUAUAACAAUGACACUCAAUAAUAAUUCCUCGCUAUGAGCGCAUGUACUCCUUUAAAUCCACACAUCAUCCACUAAACAAAUCAUCUAUAUAUAAGCUCCAAAAUGCACCAAGCUUUACAUAAGCUCCAUGUAAAGUGGAAUAACAAAUUUUCAAAUGCAAUAUCACUGGACCUAUGUAGAAACACUUACUGUUACUAAACGCUACUGUAUAUCAUGUGCAUAAAUGGUGGCUCACAGCAAACCCAUUGUCCAUGCUUUUUCAGUGCGUUCAAAGUUUAUACAUUCUGUCAAUUUAGUUUUGAUUUAAUAAAUUUAGCCUACAAUAUUUACACAUUUUGUCAAUUUGAUUCUAGUUUAACAAAAUUAGAUUGCAACAUUUACACAUUAUGUAUGAGCUCGAUUUGUUAUUAUACCAAUCAAAAUUAUAUACGAGUGAUAAAAAAUAUUAACAUUGUGGUUAAUUGUCCUUAGUUCACUUCCGAAAUUGAUAGGGAUUAACUUACUUAUUUUAUUUUUAGGGGGGCCAAUUUGCAUAAUAAUGAAUUUGAGAGGAACAAAAGGUGUGUUUUUGCCCAUUUUUAUCCUCACCUCACUACUACAAUUGUUAUUGAAUCCAAACAGGUAUCCAACAAUAAUUUCAAUCACAUCACUAUGGUAUUCAAGCUCACUAUUACAACAAUUAAUCUCACCACCGCUGUUAUUUUUAAUUUCACUAGAGUUGAUGGAAUUGUCCAUCCAAUGAAAGUCAUAGACCUAUCUAAACACAAAUACAAAGAUAAAAACUUAUUUAGAUAUAAAUUGAAAAAUAAUUUUUAUUAUUUGACACAAUUAAAAUGUAAUUACUUGCUUGAUUGAUACAUUUGCUCAAAGGUAAUGUAGCCCCUUCCAUUUUAUUAUUUGCUUAAUUUUUUUUGUAUGUGAUAUUUUGAUCUGUUCAUAAAUGGAAUGUUUCAUGGUGGCUAAGUUUCUUAGGGGAUAAAUUAUGAGUAGCAUUAUUUGUUUGUGCAGUGAAAUUGUGAUGUCUAUAUUUUAAUCUAUUUCUGUAUUUGAUGAUGUAGUGGAGUUUUAAUAUAAUUGUAAUUGAUGGUUUGUUAGUUUUAUGUACCAUAAAUGCUAUAGUAAGAGAGUUUAAAGCCGAACAUUUAAUGUCGUGCUCUAUAUGAAGAAAGGUUGAUGAGUGUUAGUUCUUUUGAUGUUUUGCCUUUGAUGGAUGUUUGAAAAAUGAUUCAGUUGAUAUCCAUAAUGUCUACCACUAUAGUUUCCCCCUUAUGUAGAAUAUGACUGCUAGUAUGUCAGGCAAUAUUAUGUUCGUAUAUUAUGUUCUUUUUCUUAUUGUCUUCAACACGAUAACAAGUGAAUUACUAGUUACUUUACUUGAUUUUGUCAUGCCAUUUUUCUCUUUGAGUUUUGGCCUUUCUGAAUUAACUUUUGAAUCACGUAGUGAAGCAUUUCUGAUGGUUCUUAUGACUAACAGUAAGUUCUCUUAUACAAGCUCCCCUACAUAUGCAUUUCUUAAACUUAUGCUCUUUUCUUCAUUUCAGUUGGUUGUUAAUCUUGAUAUAACCAUGCACAAAUACUAAUACUAAGGGACCUUGUAAUUUUGCCUGCCAUUGGAACUACUCUGAAAUAUUGCUGAUUUUUCUCAGCAAUUAAAGAGGAAGAGCGCAGCAGACAAAAAUGAAGUUUUGUCUAGCCAACAUAAUACAAGAUGUGCUAUUCAACUUGUAGUUUGAUGUGUGCCAACAUAAGCAUCAACACACAAGUCAUACGUAUAUACAGCCAGGAAACCAACAUCUUUUGGAAGAGUCCUAAUCCAAGCAUCAUAAUUGAACAUAGUCUUGGAAUACUGUCUAAAAAAAUGGUUGUCUCAUAAUCAAUUGUGCAUCCCUGCAUUUGAAUGCUGUUUCAAACACUAAAAAAACAUAAAUGUGUUUUUUUCUGAGUUGACACUUAUUAUGCAACAAGGAAAACAAAGAGCACAAUUAAGAUGUUUACACAGUUCAAAACUAGUCCUACAUCUGCGGGGCCUUACCCAAAGAUGAAAACACUAUGAACUUCAUAGUACAAAGAAAUGAUUUAAGCCUAACCUCUCUAACACUUGAUGCAAUCUCAACUUCAACCUCACCACCAAAUAUUCCGAAGCAUCUUCCUUUUUUUCCUGUUUGGACCUUCAAUAACAAAUUUGGCUGGAACUCCAAACAGCUAAAAGAGUGCCCUGCAUCAAUAAAUAUUAUGAAUUUGAAUACCUCCAAAAGCCAGUUACCAUCUAAGAUAGUAAUCAGUUGGCAUAUAUUAAGAGAAAACAUAAAUACAUAUAAAGAUAUGAUAUGUAAGUACUUAAAUGAAGAAAGCAGAGCAUAUAGUACAACCAUUUUGCAGGCUUCAUAGGCCUCUCUCUCCACAUCAAUGAUUUUUUAGAAUUAAAUUAUUAGAAGCAAUCGUCAAGUUAUUAUUAUGAUUUAAAAGUAAAAAGAAAGUAGAUAAAUUAGCACCUCUUUUUAUGCAUAUAAAAUGAUUGAAGUUCACUAAUGCCUUUCUCCAAUGCCUUACUGCACAAAUCAGCAAAAAAUAUUAUGAAAGAUGAUAAGUAAAAAGUAGGAUGAAAACAAAGGGAUUUUAACAAGGAAAUUAACAGUAUCCAACUUCAAUGAAAAAUGGCAUCAGACCCCUCACUUGGAGAUUCAAUAUACCACUCUUAUUUUUCUUCAAAAAAAGAUAAGGUCAUCAUAAUAAAUAAAUAACAAAGACAGACCAACCUGAUACAUCCGAAUGUUGGGGAUGUGAGCAAUCUUUUGCCAAUCAGCGCCAAUGUCCUUCCGAUAUCUUUCCUCCAACUGAGGAAUUUCUCGUAUUUGUAAAUACUCCAAACCGGUUAGGCAACGCAUCUCGUCCGGAAGAGAUGUUAAAUUGGGCAAAUUGACGAGAUAAAGCUCUUGCAGAUUUGUUAGAUGUUGAAGCCACUCCGGAAGAUGCCGACACUUUGGAAUAUUUAGCAGCCGUAGAGAGCGUAGACUUGUAUGAUCUUGGAAUAUUUGGAUGCCAGCUCCAGAUAACUCCAGCUCCUUGCAGUCCUUUACUUCAAACUCUUCAAGGAAAGUGAGAUGUUGGAACACAGGAAAGAGUGACCUCAAUCCAUGGCAUUCACGAAUUUCUAAUGUUUUCAAUUGAACAAGAUGUUGAAGAGAAAUGAGGAGAGACACCAGCUUUGGAAUAUUAUCAAUCUUCAAUUGAGAGAGAUUCUUAAGGGGUUCCCAUUGCAUGCCCUCUAAAUCAACCUCCUUGCAAUCUCUUAUUGUUAAUCUUUUGAGGCUGGUGAGAUGUUCAAACACAGGAAGCAGUGACCUCAAUCGAUUGCAGUUCUGAAUUUUUAAUGUUUCCAAUUGAACAAGAUGUUGAAGAGAAAUGGGGAGAGACACCAGCUUUGGAAUAUUAUCAAUCUUCAAAUGAGAGAGAUUCUUAAGUGGUUCCCAUUGCAUGCCCUCUAAAUCAACCUCCUUGCAAUCUCUUAUUGUUAAUCUUUUGAGGCUGGUGAGAUGUUGCAGGCACUCAUCUAGCAUGUGAGUGUCCAGCCCCUCAAUGUUGUGUACAUGGAAAGAUUUCAAUUUGGAGAGUGGAAGAGAAGAGGUUGAAGUUGAUGGGGCCUUAGCAUUGAUGUUCAUCUUGAUAGUCUGCUUUAACGAC